UAUACAUGAAAUAAAAGCAGCAAUUUGUCAUCAAUGAAAAUAUAAGUUGAACUCUAAAUAAGAAGAUCAUACACGAGAUAAAAGCGGCAAUUUGUCUACAAUCAAAAUUAAGAUAAUAAUAUUAAAUGGAGUCGGAUCAGGAUAUAUUCAGCGAAAUAUGUUCAGAAGUGGAAUUAAGUCAGUGGCAAGAAAAUGACGAAAUAAAAAUUCGAAAGCGUUAAUUUGGGGUGGAAUGUCCCCAUGACGAGCGCCAUUCACCAAAAAAGCCUUCAUCUUCCCAAACAUGUGUAGCCAUGUAAAGGCAGACACGCGGCAAUAAUAAUUAAACGCUAUCCAGAAAUGCCACAACCAAAUAUUGGCGAAACUGGACAGCAUCGACACCCGUCAACUGGGCGUUGUUAGCCAAAUGCCGGAACGUGGUGAGGUGCAAGCGCAAAGUAAGCUGUUGCACGAAUGCAAAGUGCUGAGAGGGUUCCACAUUCUGUUAGUCGCAUCACCGCGGAAAGCGAGGAGUCCAUGGAACUUGCUGCUAUGAUUCCCAUAUUAUCGGUGGAGCAAGUAAAGGCUAUUGAAGCCAAGUUGAAAAACAAAGCUUACGCCGACGCCAUGAUUAGGAUUCUGGCAAGAUCAAAAGGCAGGAAAGGAACGGUUAACGGGGUUAUGCGUUACCUUUUCACAGAUGACGCUAUGUACAGCUUUAUCUUAGAAGGAAGAGCAGGCAAGAUUCCAUUUCUUAGACUUAAGACGGUUGAACUUAUAUUUGACCUCUUUUCAGAAAAAGCAAAAGAAGAUAUCCAAGGCGCUAUUAGAAAAUAUGUUAGUUUAAGCCACAAUAGAUGCAACC
Long non-coding RNA from Anastrepha obliqua, 844 nucleotides. RefSeq lists it as uncharacterized. The record is from RefSeq and is a predicted model, not a curated record. The transcript has 7 exons. NCBI's taxonomy places the organism in Eukaryota, Metazoa, Arthropoda, Insecta, Diptera, Tephritidae.